Schistosoma curassoni is the source of this 45-nucleotide non-coding RNA. The record is from Rfam. Lineage: Eukaryota; Metazoa; Platyhelminthes; Trematoda; Strigeidida; Schistosomatidae.
AUCCAGCCGACGAGUCCCAAAUACGACGAAACACGCGUCCUGGAU